RNAcentral lists this ribosomal RNA (108 nucleotides) under Escherichia coli. Lineage: Bacteria; Pseudomonadati; Pseudomonadota; Gammaproteobacteria; Enterobacterales; Enterobacteriaceae. The record is from RNAcentral. RNAcentral also lists the same sequence under 4 other names.
CCGUAGCGCGGUGGUCCCACCUGACCCCAUGCCGAACUCAGAAGUGAAACGCCGUAGCGCCGAUGGUAGUGUGGGGUUUCCCCAUGCGAGAGUAGGGAACUGCCAGGC